Molecule: ribosomal RNA, 234 nt
Filed under: Triticum aestivum (bread wheat)
Lineage: Eukaryota; Viridiplantae; Streptophyta; Magnoliopsida; Poales; Poaceae
Description: partial small subunit ribosomal RNA
Source: RNAcentral
AUGGAGCUUCUUCAGCAACUAGGUUUCUCGCCUCGCUGUAUAGACUUGGUAGCACUCCUCCUGUCUACUUCCUCCUCGUCAUGCGUGUUGAAUGGUGACCCAGGAGAGAGUUUCUUGCACCAGCGAGGUCUGCGGCAAGGUGACCCACUCUCGCCUCUGCUCUUCAUCCUCUGCAUCGACUCCCUCCAUCGGCUAUUAGAGGCUGCUACCAGGUCAGGUGCACUGAGCAUGAUU